Molecule: long non-coding RNA, 1007 nt
Filed under: Glycine max (soybean)
Lineage: Eukaryota; Viridiplantae; Streptophyta; Magnoliopsida; Fabales; Fabaceae
Description: long non-coding RNA (GMAX_LNC003284)
Source: RNAcentral
ACAUACGUGGAGAAAUUGAUGAAAAUCCUAAUUUCAUUACCUUUGUAACUUUGUUGUACGUUCCCAUUCUCUUGUUCUCAUUCUCAAACAAGGUCCAUCAUCAUAUCAAUGCCUAUGCUAUGCCCUUGUUGUUUAAAUUUCUCUCUCAAUCGAUCUCUUUCACUUAGAGGCCCUCUCUCAACAGAGAUAUCAUUGUCUCAGCGGUUUCCAUCGAAUCGUAUAUACUUUCCAAGCUCAAAAUUGAUCCUUGUCCCACCAUACCUAGAGGCUUUGAUAGUGAUAUGGUAAGUGUGAGGGUGAAAUAUUGUGCAGGUCUCAAUUAUUUCAACUUUGAAUAAAGCUGACAGUUCCUCUCUUCUUUCUUUUUCCCUCAAUUUGUUUGAUUUUGACAGAAGAAUCCUUCUCUGAUCUCUUUCUCUAUCAUGUGCCACGAUUUUAUUUACCCCAGCUUGUGUAGGAAAAUAGAUAUGUUUUGUACUGGUGUCGCACCAAGUUUAUAUUAUUUGUAUUUGUAUGCAAAUAAUUAAUGUUUUUGUACGCGUCUAGAUAUAUAUCUAAACUAUCUAUAGUCUUUUUGUCAGUUUUACUUUUAUCAAACAAUUAAUUUUCUUUUGUGGAUGAAUAUAAUUAACUACCUAGAAUGAUUAAUUCCAAUACUAAUAUUUUUUUAUAAGAAACAAGUGAUAAAAUAUUUUAUACUAUAACUUAUUUUUCAUAAAAAAAAGAUCGGAGUUAUUCUUGAUUAUUUUUUUAUAAUUUAUUGUCCUCCAUUUUAAUUAACCUUUAGUGGUGUUUUACUUAUCUGUGAACAGUUUAUUUUGUAGAUGAAUUAACAACCUAUGAUAUAUUCUGCAUUCAAUAUUCCAUGUCAAAUCUGGCUAUAUGUUCAUACCUACAAAUUGAAGGGAGCCCUAGACAACAGCUGGCUAGUCAAUUUUCCUGUAGUACAUCGUUGGAUAGAUGGAUAAUUAAGAAGAUGGAUAAUGGUACAAUGAGCGUACAUCGAU